Camelina sativa (false flax) is the source of this 958-nucleotide long non-coding RNA. RefSeq lists it as uncharacterized. Lineage: Eukaryota; Viridiplantae; Streptophyta; Magnoliopsida; Brassicales; Brassicaceae. The record is from RefSeq and is a predicted model, not a curated record.
AGGAAAACAGAACACAAAAACAAAAAAAUGCUAACCCUAGAUUUUGUGCCUCCGUUCCUCGACAAAACAACAUCACUCUCAUUUCUCAUUUCUCUAUUUCGAAUCGCGAUGACUUGUCCGGCCAAGCCUCCGAUCGUCGUCUUCCACGUCCCGUCGAUUUGAGUCUGUCGGGGUUUUCACAGAGGUUCCCGGAUCUUUAAAAUCGACUUCGUUCACAGUCACCUCAGUUUUGGUGUGUUUAUUUGAUAAAACUCGAUAUGUGUUAACUGGAUUUGUUGAAGUUGAAGAACAUGUCAAGAAGCUUGAAGAAGCAGUUGGCUGGAAGAAGAUAGGACCUGCGAGGUCAUGUUCUUUUGUCUGUUCGUUGCAAGGAGGCUCAUGGUCACCAUGCUCAAGGGCUCUCAUGUUUAAACCAAUGCAGCACCCUUCGUUGUAUUCAACCUGUCAAGAAGCUGUAUAGAUCAGUUUUUGCAUCUAACAGUUAGGAUUCUUUUGUGUUAUAGAUUGACAUGGACACUAUUGAAGUCAAUAACCUGAAUAGGCAAUUCAUAUUCUGUCCUUCUCAUGUUGGGCACUCCAAGGCUAAGUUUAGGAGGUAUAUGUGAGCAACCUGGGCUCAUUCUCCAUCGCUUCAAGCUGAUUUCUCUCUGAUGGUGUCAUUAAGCAACAUGAGCUCAUUCUCCCUCACCUUAAGUUCCUUAAGAGAUGCUUCCAUCUGCUCAGCUUCCUUUCUCCUUGUCUCGGGUCUCUACAGUUUGCUUCAGGUCAAAAUCUUUAACAUUCAUCUCAAAAGCAAAAGACUUCUCAUAUGGGAAAGCAAAGCAACCUCGCUUCAAACAUUAAACCCUUGAUGUUUCUGCAUUUCCCCCAAGAUACCUCCAAUAUUUACUUUCUCUUUUUACUAGUAUGAUGUAUUCUUAUUUUUAAUUAUGUUUUUAGUUUUAUUUUGUAAUACAUU